RNAcentral lists this ribosomal RNA (777 nucleotides) under Dimidiographa longissima. RNAcentral describes it as "mitochondrial SSU rRNA". It matches the Rfam family "Bacterial small subunit ribosomal RNA", at positions 370 to 1209 of the family's 1533-position model. Lineage: Eukaryota; Fungi; Ascomycota; Arthoniomycetes; Arthoniales; Roccellographaceae. The record is from RNAcentral.
AAUGGCCUAAUGGCUGAACCAGCAAUUUGGAGGAAUGUAUAGGGAAUACUGUAAAAGGUUUUCCUAGCGGUUUAGCCGCAUAAAGUUCUAGGUAUAAUCAGAUAAUGACUAGUUAUGCCUAAAAGUCUUGACAAAAUCACGUGCCAGCAGUCGCGGUAAUACGGGAAAGACGAGUGUUAUUCAUCUUUAGUAGGUUUAAAGGGUACCUAGACUGCUAAUCUAGCCUUUUCUAAGAGGGAACAGAUUAGCUAGAGUUUUAUGGGAAAGGUUAAUGUCAGUACUGACGGAGUAGAGAUGAAAUUCUUUGAUACUGUAGGGAACUGGUAACGGCGUAGGCAAACCUUUAUGUAUAAACUGACGUUGAGGGACGAAGGCUUGGGUAACAAACAGGAUUAGAUACCCUAAUAGUCCAGGCAGACAAUGAUGAGUGCCAUAGAUUAGAUACAAUUUGAUCUAUAAAUGAAAGUGUAAGCAUUCCACCUCAAGAGUAACGUGGCAACACUGGAACUGAAAUCAUUAGACCGUGUCUAAAACCAGUAGUGAAGUAUGUUAUUUAAUUCGAUGGUCCGCGUAGAACCUUACCACAAUUUGAAUAUUAUAGUGACUAAGUUGUUUAUAAUACAGGUGUUGCACGGCUGUCUUUAGUUGAUGUCGUGAGAUGCAGGUUAGCUCCAUUUAAUCAACGUAAACCCUUACUUUAUUUUUAAAAUAAAGUAGUUCCCCGGUAUAUCGGAAAGAUAAUUGGGAUCAAGACAAGUACUCGCGGCCCUAAUAUUG